UCCAUGUCUUGGCACGUGGACUACAGGACGCAAGUGCGGCGCGCCGAGGCCGGAUUCCGGCUACUGCUGCUCUUCCUCCCGGUGGCGCUCAUCUUCGUCGCCCGCUACAUUUUCUUGGACGGGAGGUUCGUGUUCCAGUUGCCUUGGCCGGGCCAGGAGGACAUGCGCCGUGCGCAGAGCUCGCCGUGGGGGGUAGCGGUGUUGGUGGGAUUGCUGCUGGUGAUGGCCUCUUAUCAGCCCUCGUUCCAUUCUCAGUGGCUCAGGCCAUGGAGGGUUGACUAGGCCACAAAGGCCAUGUUGGUUGGUGCUGUAGCCGCUGUGCUUGCCUUUGGAGGAAGCUACAUGAUUAUAGCAAUCUGUAAUAUCAUGAAGAAACAUAAAAGAAAAGCUUUAGGUAGACCACUGUCUAACUCCCUGUUUUAGGUAUCAAAUGUUGUACAUCUUGUGAAGGUCAGGAAGAGUAUAUUACAAUUCUGGAGUUUGUUUGUGCAAGCAUUUUAUAUGAAAGACUAGACUUGGAUGUAUAAGAUAGACAUUGUUAUGUCAUGAACUUGGAUGAGAUCGUUGUUACCAGAAUGCUGAGGUGAAGAGCAAUGGCCAACCUUCUGCAAAGAUUAAUAAGUAAACUGAUGUCUGUCGAGGUAGACUCUGAUCCAGUGAGCAUGUGCAGAUA
RNAcentral lists this long non-coding RNA (673 nucleotides) under Musa acuminata (dwarf banana). RNAcentral describes it as "long non-coding RNA (MACU_LNC002778)". Lineage: Eukaryota; Viridiplantae; Streptophyta; Magnoliopsida; Zingiberales; Musaceae. The record is from RNAcentral.